UACAGAGGGUGCAAGCGUUAAUCGGAAUUACUGGGCGUAAAGGGUGCGUAGGUGGUUAAAUAAGUUAGGUGUGAAAGUCCUGGGCUUAACCUGGGGACUGCGCCUAAUACUGUUUAGCUAGAGUACUGUAGAGGAAGGUGGAAUUUCCAGUGUAGCGGUGAAAUGCGUAGAUAUUGGAAGGAACAUCUGUGGCGAAGGCGACCUUCUGGACAGAUACUGACACUGAGGCACGAAAGCGUGGGGAGCAAACAGG
RNAcentral lists this ribosomal RNA (253 nucleotides) under uncultured bacterium. RNAcentral's name for it is "partial 16S ribosomal RNA". It matches the Rfam family "Bacterial small subunit ribosomal RNA", at positions 524 to 776 of the family's 1533-position model. The record is from RNAcentral.